RNAcentral lists this ribosomal RNA (497 nucleotides) under uncultured bacterium. RNAcentral's name for it is "partial 16S ribosomal RNA". It matches the Rfam family "Bacterial small subunit ribosomal RNA", at positions 28 to 507 of the family's 1533-position model. The record is from RNAcentral.
GAUGAACGCUGGCGGCGUGCCUAAUACAUGCAAGUCGAGCGAACGGACGAGAAGCUUGCUUCUCUGAUGUUAGCGGCGGACGGGUGAGUAACACGUGGAUAACCUACCUAUAAGACUGGGAUAACUUCGGGAAACCGUAGCUAAUACCGGAUAAUAUUUUGAACCGCAUGGUUCAAAAGUGAAAGACGGUCUUGCUGUCACUUAUAGAUGGAUCCGCGCUGCAUUAGCUAGUUGGUAAGGUAACGGCUUACCAAGGCAACGAUGCAUAGCCGACCUGAGAGGGUGAUCGGCCACACUGGAACUGAGACACGGUCCAGACUCCUACGGGAGGCAGCAGUAGGGAAUCUUCCGCAAUGGGCGAAAGCCUGACGGAGCAACGCCGCGUGAGUGAUGAAGGUCUUCGGAUCGUAAAACUCUGUUAUUAGGGAAGAAUAGAUGUGUAAGUAACUGUGCACAUCUUGACGGUACCUAAUCAGAAAGCCACGGCUAACUACGUG